GCUCUGAUACCAUUGUUGGAUUUGGCCAUAUAGUCAAAAAUACCUUUUAAAAUUUUAAAACCAAACAAGUCAAUAACUUUAAUAGUUAAAACUAUCGAGCCGAAAUCCAAACCCUAGAAUCAUCUUAUCGAUGUCGAUCAAAACAAAACAAGCAUGCAAAAGGGAUAAAAUUUUACUUUCACCAAAAAUACAAUGUGUCACAUUGGUGAUCUCCACAAGACUCCAAAGUAGAAGCCCUCUAAUAGUGAUCCACAUAGAAGUUGGCCAAGGUCCUUCUCAACCAGUGCACCGCUGCAGCCUUAUCUUCUUAAGAACACUGUCGGCUUCGAACUCCAGAAACGAUCACAUCAAAGCCUAGUUGCUUUUGAUCUUGCCACUAGAAUCAUGCCAAGAAGAUGCUCUUCAGAUGUCUCACAACAUAGG
RNAcentral lists this long non-coding RNA (423 nucleotides) under Elaeis guineensis (African oil palm). RNAcentral describes it as "long non-coding RNA (EGUI_LNC072435)". The record is from RNAcentral. Lineage: Eukaryota; Viridiplantae; Streptophyta; Magnoliopsida; Arecales; Arecaceae.